Molecule: long non-coding RNA, 770 nt
Filed under: Trifolium pratense (red clover)
Lineage: Eukaryota; Viridiplantae; Streptophyta; Magnoliopsida; Fabales; Fabaceae
Description: long non-coding RNA (TPRA_LNC008995)
Source: RNAcentral
UAAACGGGGAGAAGAUUAGUUGUAACGAGGAGAAAGAACAAUGCUUCUCUCCCCGACAUAAAACUCAUAGAAUUCCAGAAAUCUAUGAGUGUUCUUCGCAAAAACCCAGAAGAUUCAUCAUCUUCAUCGCAUCGUUCAUCAUUUUUCCAGAAGUAAAAUCAAAGUUCAUCAAAGUUCUUCAUUUUUCCAGAAAACGAAAACAUCCACAAUCAUAGCAUAAAACCAAACGCUAAACACUCGAUAGAAAUGGAAACAUAAACCCAAAAUGCUUAUAGGCACACGAUGGCAGAGUUUGGCGUUGAUUCAAACACCAAACCACACCAAAAUCAGGGACACACAGAGGAAAUGGGUUGCUAAAAACCCAAACAAAACUCAUAACACGAGAUCCCUAAAACUAAAGAAAGAACAUAAGGGGAUCUAAACAACAUGCAAACCAAAUAUCAAAUCACGCUGAAACAUUAAGUUUUGGCUAAGUGCAUAACAGGGACAAAAUCCACAAAAGAAGAUUAACAGAAGCAAGAAGCAAAACACACAUUACCUGUUUGAAUGAAGAUUUGAAUCUGCAAAUGAAGUGAGAAGUGGUGAACUUGAACUCUGAAAGUGGAGCAGGUGAGAGCAGCAGCAACGAAUGGGAAAAAGGAGUGAAAAGUUCCAAAUGAUUUCCUUUCUUCCUAUUUAUAGACGUUUCAAAACCUUGCACCUCCAUCACGAGGCAAUGUACCUUACACAUAAACACCGUUGAUCAAAAUCCAACGGUUGUGAUUAAAAGC